This 382-nucleotide unclassified non-coding RNA is filed under the name Hevea brasiliensis (rubber tree). Lineage: Eukaryota; Viridiplantae; Streptophyta; Magnoliopsida; Malpighiales; Euphorbiaceae. The record is from RNAcentral.
UUUGCUUCUGCCAUUCCAAAGUUAUUACCAAUGCACAUUCGAGGACCCCAACCGAAGGGGAAAUACAAUGGCUCUUUUGCAGCUUUGGAUACCCCUUCUGAGAACCUAUUUGGAUUGAAAAUCAGUGCAUCGUCUCCCCAUACUUGGGGGUCGCGAUGUGCUAUGUAUAUAGGCACAAAAAUUUGUACUCCUGCAGGAAUUGUCAUUUCUCCCAAUUUAGUGUCCUUUGAGGUGCUUCGCAUAAGGGUGAGUGCUGGGUAUAAUCUCAACACCUCUUGGAAGAUCAUGUUCAUUAUUUUUAAUUGAUUCAAGUCCUCAAACUUUGGUUUGUUUUUUCCAAGUACUUGAAAUACUUCAUUUCUAGCUUUGUCUUGCCACUCAG